RNAcentral lists this ribosomal RNA (254 nucleotides) under uncultured bacterium. Its description in RNAcentral is "partial 16S ribosomal RNA". It matches the Rfam family "Bacterial small subunit ribosomal RNA", at positions 524 to 776 of the family's 1533-position model. The record is from RNAcentral.
UACAGAGGUCUCAAGCGUUGUUCGGAUUCAUUGGGCGUAAAGGGUGCGUAGGCGGCGCGGUAAGUGAGGUGUGAAAACUCCAGGCUCAACCUGGAGACGCCACCUCAUACUGCGGUGGCUAGAGUCCGGUAGGGGAGCAUGGAAUUCCUGGUGUAGCGGUGAAAUGCGCAGAUAUCAGGAGGAACACCAGUGGCGAAGGCGGUGCUCUGGGCCGGUACUGACGCUGAGGAGCGAAAGCGUGGGGAGCAAACAGG